CAUGCAGUCGAGCGAAUGGAUUAAGAGCUUGCUCUUAUGAAGUUAGCGGCGGACGGGUGAGUAACACGUGGGUAACCUGCCCAUAAGACUGGGAUAACUCCGGGAAACCGGGGCUAAUACCGGAUAACAUUUUGAACCGCAUGGUUCGAAAUUGAAAGGCGGCUUCGGCUGUCACUUAUGGAUGGACCCGCGUCGCAUUAGCUAGUUGGUGAGGUAACGGCUCACCAAGGCAACGAUGCGUAGCCGACCUGAGAGGGUGAUCGGCCACACUGGGACUGAGACACGGCCCAGACUCCUACGGGAGGCAGCAGUAGGGAAUCUUCCGCAAUGGACGAAAGUCUGACGGAGCAACGCCGCGUGAGUGAUGAAGGCUUUCGGGUCGUAAAACUCUGUUGUUAGGGAAGAACAAGUGCUAGUUGAAUAAGCUGGCACCUUGACGGUACCUAACCAGAAAGCCACGGCUAACUACGUGCCAGCAGCCGCGGUAAUACGUAGGUGGCAAGCGUUAUCCGGAAUUAUUGGGCGUAAAGCGCGCGCAGGUGGUUUCUUAAGUCUGAUGUGAAAGCCCACGGCUCAACCGUGGAGGGUCAUUGGAAACUGGGAGACUUGAGUGCAGAAGAGGAAAGUGGAAUUCCAUGUGUAGCGGUGAAAUGCGUAGAGAUAUGGAGGAACACCAGUGGCGAAUGCGACUUUCUGGUCUGUAACUGACACUGAGGCGCGAAAGCGUGGGGGAGCAAACAGGAUUAGAUACCCUGGUAGUCCACGCCGUAAACGAUGAGUGCUAAGUGUUAGAGGGUUUCCGCCCUUUAGUGCUG
Molecule: ribosomal RNA, 815 nt
Filed under: Bacillus thuringiensis
Lineage: Bacteria; Bacillati; Bacillota; Bacilli; Caryophanales; Bacillaceae
Description: bacterial SSU rRNA
Rfam family: Bacterial small subunit ribosomal RNA
Source: RNAcentral